GGAGGACUCAACGUUGAACUUGUCAAGUUCCAACUCCUGGUACUCCUCUGAAACCAAAGCAUGUUCAUCUACAACGUCCACAGAAUUUGGAAUUCAUAGGGGACUGUACUUUCAAAGAAGCUUUCUUGCUGGAUUCCUUUUCCUGACCGAUCUGAAUAAGACGACUCAAUUAUCAGUGGACCAUGAAGAGGCAAUGACAUUGACUGACAGCCAGUGAACAUCCAGUCACUACCAGACGGGAAUCUCAUUUACCUUGAAGUGAACAGCUUCUGAGGCUCAUGUUGUUCCACAUUCUUUAAACAGCUCCCUCCCAGUGCAGCAUGCACAAGAAGGCUACACAGCAAGAGG
Long non-coding RNA from Melanotaenia boesemani (Boeseman's rainbowfish), 348 nucleotides. RefSeq lists it as uncharacterized. The transcript is spliced from 4 exons. The record is from RefSeq and is a predicted model, not a curated record. Lineage: Eukaryota; Metazoa; Chordata; Actinopteri; Atheriniformes; Melanotaeniidae.